This 253-nucleotide ribosomal RNA is filed under the name uncultured bacterium. RNAcentral describes it as "partial 16S ribosomal RNA". It matches the Rfam family "Bacterial small subunit ribosomal RNA", at positions 524 to 776 of the family's 1533-position model. The record is from RNAcentral.
UACGUAGGGGGCAAGCGUUGUCCGGAUUUAUUGGGCGUAAAGAGCGUGUAGGCGGCCAGACAGGUCUGCUGUGAAAACUCGAGGCUCAACCUCGAGAUGUCGGCGGAAACCGUCUGGCUAGAGUCCGGAAGAGGAGAGUGGAAUUCCUGGUGUAGCGGUGAAAUGCGCAGAUAUCAGGAAGAACACCUAUGGCGAAGGCGGGUCUCUGGGCCGAUACUGACGCUGAGGAGCGAAAGCAUGGGUAGCGAACAGG